AGCAGCCACGGUAAUUCCAGCUCCAAUAGCGUAUAUUAAAGUUGCUGCAGUUAAAAAGCUCGUAGUUGAAUUUCGGGACCAUCAUGUCGGUCGUGCCUCGGUACGUACUGGCAUUGUUGGUUUCUUCCUUCUGACGAACCAUGAUGUCAUUUAUUUGGUGUCGUGGGAAAUCAGGACUGUUACUUUGAAAAAAUUAGAGUGCUUAAAGCAGGCUCACGCUUGAAUACAUUAGCAUGGAAUAAUGAAAUAGGAUGUUUGAUUCUAUUUUGUUGGUUUUUAGGAUCGACGUAAUGAUUAAUAGGGAUAGUUGGGGGCAUUAGUAUUCAAUUGUCAGAGGUGAAAUUCUUGGAUUUAUUGAAGACUAACUACUGCAAAAGCAUUUGCCAAGGAUGUUUUCAUUAAUCAAGAACGAAAGUUAGGGAUCGAAGACGAUCAGAUACCGUCGUAGUCUUAACCAUAAACUAUGCCGACUAGGAAUCAGAUGAUGUUAAUUUUUUAAUGACUCA
This 506-nucleotide ribosomal RNA is filed under the name uncultured Glomus. Its description in RNAcentral is "SSU rRNA". It matches the Rfam family "Eukaryotic small subunit ribosomal RNA", at positions 569 to 1078 of the family's 1831-position model. Lineage: Eukaryota; Fungi; Glomeromycota; Glomeromycetes; Glomerales; Glomeraceae. The record is from RNAcentral.